This 2418-nucleotide long non-coding RNA is filed under the name Homo sapiens (human). RNAcentral describes it as "OBI1 antisense RNA 1 (OBI1-AS1)". The record is from RNAcentral. Lineage: Eukaryota; Metazoa; Chordata; Mammalia; Primates; Hominidae.
AUAGUUACUUGGGACAACAGUUUUAGCAGGGCUCUCUUUCUCCUUUCCUGAUCUCUCUGUUAAGCUGCCUGGCUCAUUUGAUAUCACAUCCAAAUUAUCAGCUGAUUGCUCUAUUGUUUUGGACAAUGCCCUGAAGCAUACCAAAAUGUGUCUGGAAUUGGUGGGUUCUUGGUCUUACUGACUUUAAGAAUGAAGUUGCGGACUUUUGCGGUGAUCCACCCUACCACAUAUUGUCUCCUAAUGGCCGUCCAGUUUAUCCUGGAGCCCUUGCAUGACACAGGCCUAUCGAAGCAUAGGAGAUGCCAAUAUUUUACCUCUUGGGUACUUUCUGUGUAGAAGAUUCAUAACAAGAACAAUACUUAUUCUGCAAUUCUUUAUAUAAAGCUCCAGAGGGAAGUGAGAAGGAUGUUCACUUGCUGGUGAGAGAAGGAGCUGGUUCCAUCCAUUACGCAGUCCCCUGGGAGCGCUAAAUGCAACUUUAUCUCAACGGGGAGUGGACGAUGAGCAGGACGUCGCUAGAGGGAAAGAGCCUCACUUCCCGUUUCCUUUGGCAGCGCCCUUUUCCCGACCUAAGGGAGCAGACCUUCGUUGGUUGGCGUGAGGACUGGCGGGAGAGGUUUUGUGCCAGGAUCCGCACUGUCUGGGGUGAACGCUCCUCACCUUUGACCUGAACCGCCAACUUCCCAUCCUCCACUUUUGGAGAGCGCGCCUGAUAGCUGCUGCCCACCUGGGCACUGACAUCCUCCUUCCGACCGGGUGCGGAGAAAGCACAAAGGAAGUAGACCAAGGAGACUGAAGGUGGUUAUGAAGACUGUGCAUCUCUGAGGACAUCUUAAACAAAGAUGACCCAAAUCUUUGAUCUUCAAAUAGUCGAUGUGAACUGCUUAACAAAAUGCCCUGGGAAAACUCUGUCUGAAACAAGCAGCUUGGGGGUUUGAUUUCAUUAGUUACUGGACAAGAACUGGAAUGGAGUGAAAAAUCUUCAUUCAUUUCUUGGUCAGAUGGAGAGAGGAGAAAAAAAGAAGUGGGUUUCCAUUCACUUCCAUUUUCUAACUGAUCAUUAGUUAGAGAACCUUUGGAAAGGUUUAGCUCAGUUUUUUCUUCCAACUUAUCAGGUUCCUCAAGAAAUUCACUGCCUUGAGAUGACUUUGAUAACCCAUCCAAAUCCAGUGACUUAAAACCGUUAUUACAAGGGCUCUUGCUGUUGUCUGACUCUGACAUCAUUGAAUCCAACUCAGAGAUUUUGUCAAGGUAAGCAGCAUCCAUCGAUGCUUCACUGGAUGUUCUUGUCCGGUUCAUUUCAAAAGAGCGAAUAGAAUUCAACCUUUUGGAUAAACAUAAGCCUGAUUUCUCACUCAAUUUUGAAGAUAUUUCUCCAACAGAAUUUGCUAUCGUGUUCCCCUCUGAACUUUCAAAAUCUAAGUUUUGGGCAUAGCUUGUGGAACAACAGUCCCAAAAUCCUGUCUUUGGGGAAGAAAAACAUUCUGAUUUCUUUUCAUUUUCACUUCUACUUAUAUCAUCUUCUGAAGAAUCUUUAUUAGAAACAUUUGAAGAAUCACAAAAAUCAUCAAACACCAAUUUUCUGAGAUGGUUUGAGUGCUUUUUGGAACCUCCUGCUUGGACCACAGAGCUCUCUCUAUUUUCUGGAGUACUGAGCUGAAGGCAACUAAGGGACAAAGGAGUACAAGGAGCUGGAAGAUCAUAAAGUUCUUCAUCUUUGUAGGGUACACAGUCACUUGGUUUAUUCCCCCAUUCUCUUUCCAAAUAAGUAUCCAUACUUGUAUCUGUCACAUCUAACAUUACUUCUACCUGUUCUUGAUAUAGGUCUUUGUUCUUAGAACAGUUAAGGUCUGCUUUGCUGGUACUUUCCUGCCUUGCAGAACUGGUGUCACACAGUCUGCUGCUGGAAGGCUUCGCUAGGUGAGAAGAACUGGAGGUGGAUGAGCCAGGCUGCUUUCUGGCACUAUCGCCUUGAUUCUUUGACACCACAUCCUCCUCACUGCCUUUGCUCCCUUUGCCAUCUGCAGAAAGUGCUGUCUGGCAAAUGGAAUUCAUAGCUUCUUUCUCUUCACUUGAAUUUUUUAGCUGUGCAACUUGAGAUUCUAGUUCCUCUAUAUACUUAUCACUUCGUUCCAGGGCUUUCUUGAGGCGAUUGGUUUCACGCUCAUACUGUUCUACUUUGGACUGAAGAGCAGCAACUGCAAACCUUCCAAACCUACAAAGAAUGGAAAGAUAGUUAAUCUUAUAACUCAAGCUUUUUUCUUUUCAAGGUUUGAGAGUGCAAACUGUCCCAGGCUAUUCUAAUUUCACCUAACAGUGACAUUUCAGACCACUCAAUGAGUAGGGCAAAUGCCAGAUGUAUAUUUUCAAAAAAUGGUUUCCCCACUUACAUAAUAAUAAACAUAUGAUAAUAAUAGC